This 653-nucleotide ribosomal RNA is filed under the name uncultured Christensenella sp. RNAcentral's name for it is "bacterial SSU rRNA". It matches the Rfam family "Bacterial small subunit ribosomal RNA", at positions 823 to 1476 of the family's 1533-position model. Lineage: Bacteria; Bacillati; Bacillota; Clostridia; Christensenellales; Christensenellaceae. The record is from RNAcentral.
UAGGAGGUAUCGACCCGUUAUGUGCCGCAGUCAACACAGUAAGCAUUCCGCCUGGGGAGUACGGUCGCAAGAUUAAAACUCAAAGGAAUUGACGGGGGCCCGCACAAGCAGCGGAGCAUGUGGUUUAAUUCGACGCAACGCGAAGAACCUUACCAGGUCUUGACAUCCAGUUAAAGCUACAGAGAUGUAGUGUCUCUUCGGAGGAACUGAGACAGGUGGUGCAUGGUUGUCGUCAGCUCGUGUCGUGAGAUGUUGGGUUAAGUCCCGCAACGAGCGCAACCCUUGUCACUAGUUGCCAGCAUUACGGAUGGGAACUCUAGUGAGACUGCCGGGGACAACUCGGAGGAAGGUGGGGACGACGUCAAAUCAUCAUGCCCCUUAUGUCUUGGGCUACACACGUGCUACAAUGGCCGGUACAAAGGGCAGCGAAGGCGCAAGCCGGAGCGAAUCUCAAAAAGCCGGUCCCAGUUCGGAUUGUGGGCUGCAACCCGCCCACAUGAAGUCGGAGUUGCUAGUAAUCGCGAAUCAGCAUGUCGCGGUGAAUGCGUUCCCGGGCCUUGUACACACCGCCCGUCACACCACGGAAGUUGGGGGCGCCCGAAGCCGGUGGCCUAACCGCAAGGGGGGAGCCGUCGAAGGUGAAACCAAUGACU